RNAcentral lists this ribosomal RNA (271 nucleotides) under Gammarus balcanicus. Its description in RNAcentral is "partial 16S ribosomal RNA". Lineage: Eukaryota; Metazoa; Arthropoda; Malacostraca; Amphipoda; Gammaridae. The record is from RNAcentral.
CUAAGGUAGCAUAGUCAUUUGUUAUUUAAUUGAUAACUGGAAUGAAAGGUUAAACUAAUUUAUUAAGUUUGUAGAACUGAGUAGUAGAUUAAAGUUAAGGUAAGAAUUCUUUAAUAGCCUAGGGGACGAUAAGACCCUAGAAGCUUAACAAGAGUAGUGGUUUGGUUUAGAAGUUAGUUUGUUUUACUGGGGCGGUAAAAGUAAUUAAGCUAUUUAUUAUUUAAAGGAUCCUUUAAAUAAAGAGAGAAUGGAGAAGUUACUCUAGGGAUAA